RNAcentral lists this long non-coding RNA (1039 nucleotides) under Linum usitatissimum (flax). RNAcentral describes it as "long non-coding RNA (LUSI_LNC005669)". The record is from RNAcentral. Lineage: Eukaryota; Viridiplantae; Streptophyta; Magnoliopsida; Malpighiales; Linaceae.
UGAUAUAUUAAUUCGACCAUUCUCUUACUUCUUCCCACUAAAAUUCUCUCUCCACACGAAAAAAUCCACAACCAUGCCUUCUCUACGAGAUAUGCCAGAACCCAUUCUAUCUGAUAUUCUUUCCCUUGUUGCUUCCAGAUCCUACAAAGGUUAUUUUAACGUCUUCCUGACAUACAUGACAACGCUUGCGGCUGGGAGAAAUGAACCAAUCAUUCUCGAGAGAUGCACUCUGUUAGAUGGAUUUGAUCCGUGGGAGGCCGAACAAGAAAGUCUCUUGACUUUUUUCGGUCGAUGUCUCGAACAUGGUAAAACAGAUGCUAGGUUUUCCAGUGCCCUUACCCAUCUGGCCCUUGAAGAUGUCAACAAUGGACUUAUACUUUUCAAGGCCACCCUUGAACAUGCAUGCCUUUAUGGAUAGAGGGAAGCAAAAUAUAAUCUUGGUAUGUUUUGAAUCUUCAACCAUGGGGAAGUUUCACCGGACUAAACCUUUAUUUGAAAGGUUUGAGGCAUGCUGACUUUGUUGAGAGGUGCAGGCGCGUAUUCCCCAAGGUUCAUAACUAUCGAGUAAGGUGGAUGACCUCGAAUGAAGUUAGGCGACCAUAUUCGGGUUAGAUUCGAUUCCUUUUGGUGUACCACGACGCUUUGAACCGCUAUGUUCAUGUACAAAGCAGUUUUCAGGUACCUACAUGGAGACAUUUACAAACUAUGGGUGGAAUUAUGCUAGGCAGGCAUUGUGUUCUUCAAGUAUCCUCAAAUUUCCAUGUUUGUGAUGUUUGUUUCUAGGCAUUGGAGGCCCAAGCCUUGCAUGAUCAGUGUUAUAUGGAUAUAUUAGAUUAGACACUAUUUUGAUCUUUGUUCGGCUUAAGUCUUUUAUGUUUUUUUCUAGUUUUCCCACUUUUUGUUCUAAAACUCACUUCCGGCUACGGCCCUAAUGUAUUUUUUAAGCUACUUUUGAUUUGUUUCUAUUUUUAUCUUUAUUAAUUUCAAUAAGUUGUGACUCUAUUACAAUGAGUUAUUUCAACAAGUUAUGACUUCAUUA